RNAcentral lists this transfer RNA (73 nucleotides) under hydrothermal vent metagenome. Its description in RNAcentral is "tRNA-Thr-GGT". It matches the Rfam family "tRNA". Rfam says of the family: Transfer RNA (tRNA) molecules are approximately 80 nucleotides in length. Their secondary structure includes four short double-helical elements and three loops (D, anti-codon, and T loops). The record is from RNAcentral.
GCUCACCUAGCUCAGUUGGUAGAGCACUUCCUUGGUAAGGAAGAGGUCGGCGGUUCAAAUCCGCUGGUGAGCU